Long non-coding RNA from Vombatus ursinus (common wombat), 1025 nucleotides. RefSeq lists it as uncharacterized. NCBI's taxonomy places the organism in Eukaryota, Metazoa, Chordata, Mammalia, Diprotodontia, Vombatidae. The transcript has 3 exons. The record is from RefSeq and is a predicted model, not a curated record.
UGAGUGCGGCUGUAUCCUGAAUGCCAAGGAAUCUGUUUGGACCCUGGAGAAGGGCCUAUACCAGGAUCUAAUGGAGCUGCAUACUCUAGGCUCUAGCCAAGGAAACCAAUAUCUCUGAGAAUUCCACCCUGUGUCACAUACAAGUGAGCCCCCAGGCUGGGUGGGUACCUGUUUAAGAGGCUCAGUCUGACACUGGACUACAAUCUAGGCCUUCCUCUAUGACUUGGGUUCAUCCUGAUGCUUUGGCUCCCACCCCAAACCUGAAAAAGCUUACAGUCUGUCUGGGGAAGAAAGACAUACAAGGAUUUCAGCAGAAACUCUUGCUAUUAAGCUGUGGACUUACCCCAGUGACUCUGAAGGUAUCCAGAGCCCAGGGGGAAGAACAGGGUGGUGGAUGAUGCUGGUAGCCAGGAGAUGGGCUGAGAUAUGAAUCUCUCUCCAAGGCAAGCAUCAGAACCUCCCACUCUCUCUACGACUCACAGGGCCAGGAUGAGCAAUCGGCACUCUCUAGAUGCUCCACUGUCACUUCCAGACCAACGCUCUGCUGCCACUACUCAACCUCUCCUUUGAAGUUCACAUCUUCUGAUUCUAUAACUUUCUCUGACCUUUCAGAGUCAUCUGCCAACUUCAGAGACACACUUCCACGUUCCUCAAGGAGUCUAGUAACCUGGUUCAUGAUCAUUUCUUUUGUGAUGGUAACAACCAUGAAUAUAACAAGAACCUGGGCUCUAUUAUUUUUCUGAGUUUCUCAAUUCCAAUAGCCUCUACCUCCAUUCAACUUUGGCAGCUGAUCUGCGUGACUGGAUACUUUGCUAUCCCCAGGACUCAAACCAUCUCCAAAAUGUUGAAUUUUCAGAACUGCCUCUCCAACCACAAUCUCCUCUUCUCCUACCCUCCCACUCCCCUAAUCCCAAUGGACCUGUUUCUCAUCAUCUACAUUUACUGAACACCUAGCAUGUGCAAGGACCCUAUGAUAAGCACUGGGGAUAAAGAGAUAUAUAACAUAGUUAAUUCCCCCCCCCCAA